RNAcentral lists this ribosomal RNA (326 nucleotides) under uncultured eukaryote. RNAcentral describes it as "partial 18S ribosomal RNA". It matches the Rfam family "Eukaryotic small subunit ribosomal RNA", at positions 1470 to 1796 of the family's 1831-position model. The record is from RNAcentral.
CCCUUAGAUGUUCUGGGCUGCACGCGCGCUACACUGAUGCACUCAACGAGUUUACGACCUUGCCCGAUAGGGUUGGGUAAUCUUUUUAAAAUGCAUCGUGAUGGGGAUAGAUUAUUGCAAUUAUUAAUCUUCAACGAGGAAUUCCUAGUAAGCGCGAGUCAUCAGCUCGUGCUGAUUACGUCCCUGCCCUUUGUACACACCGCCCGUCGCUCCUCCCGAUUGAGUGCUCAGGUGAAUAAUUCGGACUGCAGCAAUGUUUGGAUCCCGAACGUUGCAGCGGAAAGUUUAGUGAACCUUAUCACUUAGAGGAAGGAGAAGUCGUAACA